GUCGAUCAAAGAAAAGCGACGUGAUUGUGUCAAGCAGUAUAUAUAUAUAUAUACGUAACCUACACAUAACUUACGAAAUCCCUCGCGGUGCAAUUUUUUUGCAAAAACCGUAUAUUCUGAGGAAUCUCUGUCCUACUACCAAGUGCGAAAAAUAACCAGUCAAGGUACGUCGGCCGUAGGAAGCGAAAACAGAUCAAUGUAAUUUAUGUAAAUUAAGUUUAUAGGACAGAGGUCAGGAGCCCGUUUCGACGUUGCAGCCUAAGUGCGUAUAAGUACAUAGACGGGGUGCUCCACGAGAGGCGUAUCACCGAAGUGAUCCCCCAAUCUACAAGGAGUAGAAUUCGAUUCUCCCCUCUUCUGCUCCGAAACGCCGAGCCCCGAAAACCUCUGACUUGGGUCAACAUAAGUGAGGCGUAGCAACCCUUAGGAAGCUCAGCGCGUAAGGCGGCGCCUCGGAACCUUUCACCAGCUCCACUGAGAAGACCAGUUUGUCGAGCACUUUAGUGCUUAUGUAAGCGGCAGAUUGACAUCAAGCCGGAUGUGCCACAUUUUAGCCCAGUGUCCAGAGCUAGAACAUUGGGCGUGAUUUUGACGGACCUGACUACAGAGGAGCCACCGCCAACAGCAAGACAGAUUUCCGGAGUUAUGCUGUGUUACUUUGCACAUUUUCUGGGAUUAAGUUCGAUAUGCCAUUUUAAGGCCAAUUCUCUGGCAGUUAUAUAUAUGUAUAUUCAAGCAUCGGGAAUCAUGAUUGUUUGUAGAAAAGAGUGGGUA
RNAcentral lists this long non-coding RNA (774 nucleotides) under Drosophila guanche. The record is from RNAcentral. Lineage: Eukaryota; Metazoa; Arthropoda; Insecta; Diptera; Drosophilidae.